Molecule: ribosomal RNA, 304 nt
Filed under: uncultured bacterium
Lineage: Bacteria
Description: partial 16S ribosomal RNA
Rfam family: Bacterial small subunit ribosomal RNA
Source: RNAcentral
CAGCAGUCGCCACGGUAAUACGUAGGGUGCAAGCGUUAAUCGGAAUUACUGGGCGUAAAGCGUGCGCAGGCGGUUAUAUAAGACAGAUGUGAAAUCCCCGGGCUCAACCUGGGAACUGCAUUUGUGACUGUAUAGCUAGAGUACGGCAGAGGGGGAUGGAAUUCCGCGUGUAGCAGUGAAAUGCGUAGAUAUGCGGAGGAACACCGAUGGCGAAGGCAAUCCCCUGGGCCUGUACUGACGCUCAUGCACGAAAGCGUGGGGAGCAAACAGGAUUAGAUACCCCCGUAGUCCCUGUCUCUUAUAC